Molecule: non-coding RNA, 73 nt
Organism: Ailuropoda melanoleuca (giant panda)
Lineage: Eukaryota; Metazoa; Chordata; Mammalia; Carnivora; Ursidae
Source: Rfam
ACCUGGCUGGCUCAGUCAGGGGAGCGUGAGACUCUUGAUCUCGGGGUUGUGAGUUCAAGCCCCACAUUGGGUG